GAUGAACGCUAGCGGCAGGCCUAAUACAUGCAAGUCGAACGGUGGCAGCAAUGUCAUAGUGGCGCACGGGUGCGUAACACGUAACUAACCUACCCACCAUUGGGGGAUAGCCCGCCGAAAGGCGGAUUAAUACCGCAUAACACUAUAAAACGGCAUCGUUUAGUAGUUAAAGAUUUAUUGAUGGUGGAUGGGGUUGCGGGUCAUUAGCUAGUUGGUUGGGUAAUGGCUGACCAGGGCGACGAUGACUAGGGGAGCUGAGAGGCUGGUCCCCCACACGGGCACUGAGAUACGGGCCCGACUCCUACGGGAGGCAGCAGUAGGGAAUAUUGGGCAAUGGGCGAGAGCCUGACCCAGCCAUGCCGCGUGCAGGAAGAAGGCUUUCUGAGUCGUAAACUGCUUUUGACAGGGAAGAAUAAGGUGUACGUGUACACUGAUGACGGUACCUGCAGAAUAAGCACCGGCUAACUCCGUGCCAGCAGCCGCGGUAAUACGGAGGGUGCGAGCGUUGUCCGGAUUUAUUGGGUUUAAAGGGUGCGUAGGCGGCCUUGUAAGUCCGGGGUGAAAGCCCGUUGCUCAACAACGGAACUGCCCUGGAUACUGCGAGGCUUGAGUACAGACGAGGUUGGC
RNAcentral lists this ribosomal RNA (627 nucleotides) under uncultured bacterium. RNAcentral's name for it is "bacterial SSU rRNA". It matches the Rfam family "Bacterial small subunit ribosomal RNA", at positions 28 to 662 of the family's 1533-position model. The record is from RNAcentral.